RNAcentral lists this ribosomal RNA (365 nucleotides) under uncultured soil bacterium. Its description in RNAcentral is "bacterial SSU rRNA". It matches the Rfam family "Bacterial small subunit ribosomal RNA", at positions 26 to 382 of the family's 1533-position model. The record is from RNAcentral.
AGGACGAACGCUGGCGGCGUGCUUAACACAUGCAAGUCGAACGAGGUCCACCGCGUAGCAAUACAAGGGAAGACCUAGUGGCGAACGGGUGCGUAACACGUGAGGAACUUGUCCCGGUCUCUGGGAUAACAGUUGGAAACGACUGCUAAUACCAGAUGACGUCGGAAUCUCGCAUGGGAUACUGACGAAAGGUUACUGGAUCGGGAGAGCCUCGCGGCCUAUCAGCUUGUUGGUGGGGUAACGGCCCACCAAGGCAUCGACGGGUAGCUGGUCUGAGAGGAUGAUCAGCCACACUGGGACUGAGACACGGCCCAGACUCCGUACGGGAGGCAGCGAGUGGGGAAUCGUUGCGACAAGUGGGGACG